This 253-nucleotide ribosomal RNA is filed under the name uncultured bacterium. RNAcentral describes it as "partial 16S ribosomal RNA". It matches the Rfam family "Bacterial small subunit ribosomal RNA", at positions 524 to 776 of the family's 1533-position model. The record is from RNAcentral.
UACGUGGGGGGCAAGCGUUGUUCGGAAUUACUGGGCGUAAAGGGCUCGUAGGCGGCCAACUAAGUCAGACGUGAAAUCCCCAGGCUUAACCUGGGAACUGCGUCUGAUACUGGAUGGCUGGAGUGUGGGAGAGGGAUGCGGAAUUCCAGGUGUAGCGGUGAAAUGCGUAGAUAUCUGGAGGAACACCGGUGGCGAAGGCGGCAUCCUGGACCAUUACUGACACUGAAAAGCGAAAGCCAGGGGAGCAAACGGG